CACCGCCCGUCACAUCACGAAAGUAGGUUGUACUAGAAGUAGGAGGGCUAACUCGCAAGAGAGGCAUCUUACCACGGUAUGAUUUAUGAUUGGGGUG
This 97-nucleotide ribosomal RNA is filed under the name uncultured bacterium. RNAcentral describes it as "partial 16S ribosomal RNA". It matches the Rfam family "Bacterial small subunit ribosomal RNA", at positions 1388 to 1482 of the family's 1533-position model. The record is from RNAcentral.